CUCUCCCAUUUGGUCAGGUUUCCCGAAUUCCCCCUAUGUGCAAUUUUGUGCACAAAUGUGCAAUGACUUUGCAAAACAUUUUGCAAAAUUUUUUUGCAAAAUUUCGCUUAUCUUAUAAUAGAAAAAAACAGUAUAUGCACUUGCCCUUUUACGAACUUACCCACUCCACCUUAUUAUAUUAUUUAUAUCAGGUAUGUACAGUAUUAUUUUUUAGUUUAAAAAUUAUAUUAUUUCGUCUGUAUGUCUGUUCGCCAUAUAUUUAAAAAAGUAUGAAAGAUGGCAGUGGCGGAUUUAGCAUUUGAGAGGCCCCAGGAAUUCAGUUUUGAGGCCCCCCUCUAAAUAUUUUCACUACAUCUACAUCCUACAGUGUGAAUUCUAU
This 379-nucleotide long non-coding RNA is filed under the name Androctonus crassicauda. Lineage: Eukaryota; Metazoa; Arthropoda; Arachnida; Scorpiones; Buthidae. The record is from RNAcentral.